This 1096-nucleotide ribosomal RNA is filed under the name uncultured dinoflagellate. RNAcentral's name for it is "bacterial SSU rRNA". It matches the Rfam family "Eukaryotic small subunit ribosomal RNA", at positions 40 to 1142 of the family's 1831-position model. RNAcentral also lists the same sequence under 1 other name. Lineage: Eukaryota; Dinophyceae. The record is from RNAcentral.
UAGAUUAUUCCAUGCAUGUCUCACUAUAAGCUUCUAUACGGCGAAACUGCGAAUGGCUCAUUAAAACAGUUAUAGUUUAUUUGAUGGUCAUUCAUUACAUGGAUAACCGUGGUAAUUCUAUAGCUAAUACUUGCGCUCAAACCCAACUUCUGGGAAGGGUUGUGUUUAUUAGAUACAAAUCUAACCCAGGGCCCGCCUGGUCUUUUGGCGAUUCAUAAAAACCGAACGGAUCCCAUGGCUCCAUCUGGCGAUGAAUCCCUCCUGUUUCUGACAUAUCAUCUUCCGACGGCAGAAUAUUGGCCUACCGUGGCAAUGACGGGUUCGGAAAAUUAGGGUUCGAUUCCGGAGAGGGACCCUGACAAACGGCUACCACAUCUUUUGAAAGCAACAGGCGCGCAAAUUACCCAAUCCUGACACAGGGAGGUAGUGACAAGAAAUAACAAUACGGGGCAUCCGUGUCUUGUAAUUGGAAUGAGUACACUUUAAAUCCCUUUACGAGUACCAAUUGGAGGGCAAGUCUGGUGCCAGCAGCCGCAGUAAUUCCAGCUGCAAUAGCGUAUAUCAAAGUUGUUGCGGUUAAAAAAGCUCGUAGUUGGAUUUAAAGUGAGGACGACCGGUCCGCCCUGUGUGUGAGCAUCUGGCUUGGCCUUGGCAUCUUGUCGGAGAAUGUAGGUGCCCUGGACUGUGUGGUGCGGUAUCCAGGACUUUUACUUUGAGGAAAUUAGAGUGUUUCAAGCAGGCACACGCCUUGAAUACAUUAGCAUGGAAUAAUAAGAUAGGACCUUGGUUCUAUUUUGUUGGUUUCUAGAAAUGAGGUAAUGAUUAAUAGGGAUAGUUGGGGGCAUUCGUAUUUAACUGUCAGAGGUGAAAUUCUUGGAUUUGUUAAAGACGGAUUAGUGCGAAGGCAUUUGCCAAGGAUGUUUUCAUUGAUCAAGAUCGAAAGUUAGGGGAUCGAAGACGAUCAGAUACCGUCCUAGUGUUAACCAUCAACCAUGCCGAUUAGAGAUUGGAGGUUGUUAUCUUUACGACUCCUUCAGCACCCUAUGAGAAAUCAAAGUCUUUGGGUUCCGGGGGGAGUCUGGUCGCAAGGCCGAAA